UUUUAUUUAGAAAAUAGUGAUUUUGAAAAUCACUGAAGAGCGCAAUAUAAGCUCAAUAAAAA
Molecule: transfer RNA, 62 nt
Filed under: Oxyloma wujiaquensis
Lineage: Eukaryota; Metazoa; Mollusca; Gastropoda; Stylommatophora; Succineidae
Description: tRNA-Ser
Source: RNAcentral